RNAcentral lists this ribosomal RNA (253 nucleotides) under uncultured bacterium. RNAcentral describes it as "partial 16S ribosomal RNA". It matches the Rfam family "Bacterial small subunit ribosomal RNA", at positions 524 to 776 of the family's 1533-position model. The record is from RNAcentral.
UACAGAGGGUGCAAGCGUUAUUCGGAAUUACUGGGCGUAAAGCGUGCGUAGUCGGUUAUGUAAGUCAGGUGUGAAAGCCCCGGGCUCAACCUGGGAAUGGCAUUUGAGACUGCAUAGCUAGGGUGCGGAAGAGGGAAGCGGAAUUUCCGGUGUAGCGGUGGAAUGCGUAGAUAUCGGAAGGAACAUCAGUGGCGAAAGCGGCUUCCUGGUCCAGCACCGACGUUCAGGCACGAAAGCGUGGGGAGCAAACAGG